AGUGAACGCUGGCGGUAGGCCUAACACAUGCAAGUCGAACGGCAGCACAGUAAGAGCUUGCUCUUACGGGUGGCGAGUGGCGGACGGGUGAGGAAUACAUCGGAAUCUACUUUUUCGUGGGGGAUAACGUGGGGAAACUUACGCUAAUACCGCAUACGACCUACGGGUGAAAGCAGGGGAUCUUCGGACCUUGCGCGAUUGAAUGAGCCGAUGUCGGAUUAGCUAGUUGGCGGGGUAAAGGCCCACCAAGGCGACGAUCCGUAGCUGGUCUGAGAGGAUGAUCAGCCACACUGGAACUGAGACACGGACCAGACUCCUACGGGAGGCAGCAGUGGGGAAUAUUGGACAAUGGGCGCAAGCCUGAUCCAGCCAUACCGCGUGGGUGAAGAAGGCCUUCGGGUUGUAAAGCCCUUUUGUUGGGAAAGAAAAGCAGCAGGUUAAUACCCCGCUGUUCUGACGGUACCCAAAGAAUAAGCACCGGCUAACUUCGUG
Molecule: ribosomal RNA, 492 nt
Filed under: uncultured bacterium
Lineage: Bacteria
Description: partial 16S ribosomal RNA
Rfam family: Bacterial small subunit ribosomal RNA
Source: RNAcentral